This 427-nucleotide ribosomal RNA is filed under the name uncultured bacterium. RNAcentral's name for it is "partial 16S ribosomal RNA". It matches the Rfam family "Bacterial small subunit ribosomal RNA", at positions 355 to 774 of the family's 1533-position model. The record is from RNAcentral.
UGGGGAAUAUUGCACAAUGGGCGCAAGCCUGAUGCAGCCAUGCCGCGUGUAUGAAGAAGGCCUUCGGGUUGUAAAGUACUUUCAGCGGGGAGGAAGGCGAUAAGGUUAAUAACCUUGUCGAUUGACGUUACCCGCAGAAGAAGCACCGGCUAACUCCGUGCCAGCAGCCGCGGUAAUACGGAGGGUGCAAGCGUUAAUCGGAAUUACUGGGCGUAAAGCGCACGCAGGCGGUCUGUCAAGUCGGAUGUGAAAUCCCCGGGCUCAACUUGGGAACUGCAUUCGAAACUGGUAGGCUAGAGUCUUGUAGAGGGGGGUAGAAUUCCAGGUGUAGCGGUGAAAUGCGUAGAGAUCUGGAGGAAUACCGGUGGCGAAGGCGGCCCCCUGGACAAAGACUGACGCUCAGGUGCGAAAGCGUGGGGAGCAAACA